RNAcentral lists this ribosomal RNA (427 nucleotides) under uncultured bacterium. RNAcentral describes it as "bacterial SSU rRNA". It matches the Rfam family "Bacterial small subunit ribosomal RNA", at positions 97 to 520 of the family's 1533-position model. The record is from RNAcentral.
GGCGAACGGGUGAGUAAUACAUCGGAACGUGCCCAGUCGUGGGGGAUAACUACGCGAAAGCGUAGCUAAUACCGCAUACGAACUCUGGUUGAAAGCGGGGGAUCGCAAGACCUCGCGCGAUUGGAGCGGCCGAUGGCAGAUUAGGUAGUUGGUGGGGUAAAGGCCUACCAAGCCGACGAUCUGUAGCUGGUCUGAGAGGAUGACCAGCCACACUGGGACUGAGACACGGCCCAGACUCCUACGGGAGGCAGCAGUGGGGAAUUUUGGACAAUGGGCGCAAGCCUGAUCCAGCCAUUCCGCGUGCAGGAUGAAGGCCCUCGGGUUGUAAACUGCUUUUGUACGGAGCGAAACGCGCUGAGCUAAUACCUCGGCGUAAUGACGGUACCGUAAGAAUAAGCACCGGCUAACUACGUGCCAGCCGCCGCGG